GAGAAGGAGGUGAGGCGAGGUGAGGGAAUGCUAGCUCCACACUGCUGCUUUGAGCCAGCAAGAUUAAUGUAGGCUCUCUGGAGCAAAGGCAACAUCCAGAGCUUUAAUAAGGUACAAACAAUCGGUUCCACUCCACUGGCUUCCGAGGGAAAACUAUUGUUGUGCUGCAUUGUUUCUUGCUAAGACUCCUUGGAGACACGGGCUGGCUGCAGCAUGUGGCUGUCUCCAUUACAGCCAAGGGAGGGGACAAUGUAGACCUGUGUUUGUCUGUGUCAGGGUGAAGGUUGGCUCUUCCCCAACACGUACCCGCCCUCUGCCCCGCCCAGUUCCCCGUUCAGUCCCCGAAAUACCCAAAACAAGCGCACUCACCUCGACUCCCUGGACUUUCAGCUUCAUGUGAUCCUCCCGGGUGGUCUUUCCGUCUUUCCUCUUCUUCCAACAGUAGCCAUCCUUUCUGUACUUCACCUUCUUCCUAUUGUACAAGAUCAUGGAACCAUUCUGAGGCCUGGAUCCACGGAGACCGGGCAGAGGGAGGGGGAGAGUGAAACAAAAACAGAGAGAAACAUGAAACGAGGGGACUUUGAAGGCAGCCCAGCUGGGGGACUCAUUUCAGAGGUGCACAAAGAGCGCUGACACAAGUUUACACCAGCCUGAAAAUGCACCAGUGGCUUCGAGGACAAGGCAUUCUGUGCUGUUUUUUGGCGUGCACGGCUUGACAGGGGACAAAACGCCCAUCGCCAUGCGUUCCUCCGGGUGAGCGGGGCGUCGACGUGAGUCCUCACAGAGGAAGAGUAUGGCGAGGCUGCUCUGCCCCUUAUCGCUCAUUCAUCCAACUUAAAUGAGUUGUGGUGUUGGAAGUCCCCAAGGCCCUGUCUUCUCGCCGUCAGUCAAGUCAGACUGUGCACGAGGGAGCGUCUUCGUCUCCACCUCCUCCGACUCCCCCUUGUUUUGGGAUUCCUCACCUUCCUCUGCCACAACUCAACUGCUCAGGGUGCUUAGAAAACAGCCAUUAAAGGACAUUUUAAUGGUCAGUUGGAAAGCGGGCGCGCACAGUGCUCCUAUGGGAUGCAUAAGCAGUAUAAAUUGUGUUGUUGUUUAUCGUUUGUGUAACGUCGCUGCGCUUGAUCAUAAAAGGCACUGAUGAAGCAACGACUUUGCUGCCUUUUGCAGUGCAAACAUACAUGUUGGGACAUUUGCAUUCUGAAUGUCAUUUGAAAGACUCAUUUAAGGCCCC
Molecule: long non-coding RNA, 1234 nt
Filed under: Takifugu rubripes (torafugu)
Lineage: Eukaryota; Metazoa; Chordata; Actinopteri; Tetraodontiformes; Tetraodontidae
Description: lncRNA (ENSTRUG00000032066.1)
Source: RNAcentral